AGGAUUUUAAGUUAAAGUAAACUCUAAACCUUCAAAGUUUAAAAUAGAUUAUUGUCUAAAUCCUG
This 65-nucleotide transfer RNA is filed under the name Decemunciger sp. AB-2017. RNAcentral's name for it is "tRNA-Trp". Lineage: Eukaryota; Metazoa; Annelida; Polychaeta; Terebellida; Ampharetidae. The record is from RNAcentral.